This 864-nucleotide ribosomal RNA is filed under the name uncultured Planctomycetia bacterium. Its description in RNAcentral is "bacterial SSU rRNA". It matches the Rfam family "Bacterial small subunit ribosomal RNA", at positions 58 to 922 of the family's 1533-position model. Lineage: Bacteria; Pseudomonadati; Planctomycetota; Planctomycetia. The record is from RNAcentral.
CAAGUCGAACGAAUCCCAAGCCUUGUAGCAAUACCGGGCUUGGGGGAAGUGGCGAAAGGGGCAGUAAUGCAUGGACAACCUACCCUGGGGACCGGGAUAGCCUUUCUAACGAAAGGGUAAUACCGGGCGAUGUGGUCGAGGGGCAUCCCUUGGCCAUGAGAUGAAUUUCGCCUCGGGAGGGGUUCAUGUCGUAUUAGCUUGUUGGCGGGGUAACGGCCCACCAAGGCAAAGAUGCGUAGCGGGUGUGAGAGCACGACCCGCGCCACUGGCACUGAGACACUGGCCAGACUCCUACGGGAGGCUGCAGUCGAGGAUCUUCGGCAAUGGGCGCAAGCCUGACCGAGCGACGCCGCGUGUGCGACGAAGGCCUUCGGGUUGUAAAGCACUUUAGUGGGGGAGAAAAGCGCAAGCUUGAUCUAUCCCAAGAAUAAGCACGGGCUAAGUUCGUGCCAGCAGCCGCGGUAAGACGAACCGUGCGAACGUUGUUCGGAAUCACUGGGCUUAAAGGGCGCGUAGGCGGCUUGCCAAGUCCGGGGUGAAAUCCUCCAGCUUAACUGGAGAAGUGCCUUGGAUACUGGCGAGCUCGAGCGAGGUAGGGGCGGGUGGAACUUCCGGUGGAGCGGUGAAAUGCGUUGAUAUCGGAAGGAACGCCGGUGGCGAAAGCGACCCGCUGGACCUCUUCUGACGCUGAGGCGCGAAAGCUAGGGGAGAGAACGGGAUUAGAUACCCCGGUAUUCCUAGCCCUAAACGAUGGGUACUAGAUAGUGGACUUGACAUGGGUUCACUGUCGAAGCAAAAGUGGUAAGUACCCCGCCUGGGGAGUAUGGUCGCAAGGCUGAAACUCAAAGGAAUUGACGGGGGCUC